UUCGGUGGUCAUAGCGGCAGGGCCACGCCCGGACCCAUUCCGAACCCGGAAGCUAAGCCUGCCAGCGCCGAUGGUACUGCACCCGAAGGGGUGUGGGAGAGUAGGACACCGCCGAACAACAACCCCACCGAACGGCCCGCUGGGCAGCCACCACGGCCCCCCAGCGGGCCGUUCGCAUGU
This 180-nucleotide ribosomal RNA is filed under the name Amycolatopsis arida. Lineage: Bacteria; Bacillati; Actinomycetota; Actinomycetes; Pseudonocardiales; Pseudonocardiaceae. The record is from RNAcentral.